Molecule: ribosomal RNA, 227 nt
Filed under: uncultured bacterium
Lineage: Bacteria
Description: partial 16S ribosomal RNA
Rfam family: Bacterial small subunit ribosomal RNA
Source: RNAcentral
UGAGCAAUCUGCCCUUCUCAUCGGAAUAAGCGUUGGAAACGACGUCUAAUGCCGAAUACGACCUCCUUUCACAUGAUCGGAGGUGGAAAGCUCCGGCGGAGAAGGAUGAGCUCGCGGCCUAUCAGCUAGUUGGUGUGGGUAACGGCCCACCAAGGCGACGACGUGUAGCCGGCCUGAGAGGGUGACCGGCCACACUGGGACUGAGACACGGCCCAGACUCCUAGGAG